Molecule: long non-coding RNA, 478 nt
Filed under: Bos indicus x Bos taurus (hybrid cattle)
Lineage: Eukaryota; Metazoa; Chordata; Mammalia; Artiodactyla; Bovidae
Description: lncRNA (ENSBIXG00000013742.1)
Source: RNAcentral
CCUAAGAAGAACCGCCCCCUGCCACUAGCCCAAGCCAGGCCUGCUUCUCUGGGGAGAGGAGGCACGGUAGCCCCUGACCCUAGCCGCUGCCCGACCCCCAGACCACAGCCUGCAAGAGGCUAACCCCUCCCUACUGCCCUGUGGCCCGCGCCCCCACCCCGUUGGUUGACGAGGCUGCCCCUGCCCGCACGUAUUUUGUAUUAUAAAAUGACUGCCGUCGCCAUGGCAACAUAAAAGGAGCCGAUCUCAUUACUGGGUCCUGGACACAUUAUUUUCUCCAAGGAAUUUCUUCUUUUCAUUAUUUCCCUCCAAAGGCACACCCCCUCCUCCCAUUUUCUAUAGUGGAAUGAUGCUUCUGACCCACCUUGAAGGGCUGGACCAAGGCAUCCGGUCAAAGUGCCCCCUGGAGAAGGUGAGCGCGGAGCACGGGGGGCUGGGUAUAAGGUGAUGCUAGGGGUUCGUUCACUGACGCGUGGUG